RNAcentral lists this long non-coding RNA (749 nucleotides) under Scleropages formosus (Asian bonytongue). RNAcentral describes it as "lncRNA (ENSSFOG00015026027.1)". Lineage: Eukaryota; Metazoa; Chordata; Actinopteri; Osteoglossiformes; Osteoglossidae. The record is from RNAcentral.
AAAAGUUUUCCUUCAAAAAAAUGUAUACAUACAAUUUUGAAAUAAAUUUCUGCCUGAAAUAUUCAAGCAGGAGGCCAUUGAAGGAGAGGGCAGUUUCAAUUAGAGGUUAGAUAUGAUUGUCAUGGACAUUGAUGAGGAAGAGUUGAACAGCUUAUCUGCAAGCUACAGUUUCUCCUUAGGGCCACUAUCCUGUUCUGACAAAGCUGAGAGCAACAAUUCAGGGCUGCAGAGAACAGCAGACCAAGCUCUGGAGAAGGAACUCAUCCCACAUGAGCAUCAACACCAGCCAGUUAAAGAGGAAGUGAUGGAAGAACAGGACAAUUUCAAAACGACACAUGAUAUAUUUGUCAUAGAUGUUGAUGAGGAAGAGUUCAAAAGUUUGGUGGCAAAUGUCAGUUCUGGUGAGGAUCUUUCUUCUCAAGAAGGUGAAAACAAAGGAUCAGACCAAACAAAAGCACACCCAAUUCUAGAGAAGGAACUUUCUUUCGGUCUGCAUGACCAUCAACAUCAGCUUAGUACAGAGGAGACCGCAGAGAAACAAGGCAAUUUCAACAGGAUACGAGAUGUGACUGUUGCAGACAUUAUUGCCAAAGAUUCGACCGCAUCACCUGCAAGCUCCAUUUCCUCUGUUGAGCCAAUUUCUUCCUGCAGUGAAGUUAAGGGUAAUGCGUCAGGGAUACAGACAACUGCAGGUCACGCCCUAGAGAAGCGACGUCCUCUGGGCCCACAUGAGCAUCAGUUCAGUAGAG